This 900-nucleotide long non-coding RNA is filed under the name Fukomys damarensis (Damara mole-rat). RNAcentral's name for it is "lncRNA (ENSFDAG00000033027.1)". Lineage: Eukaryota; Metazoa; Chordata; Mammalia; Rodentia; Bathyergidae. The record is from RNAcentral.
AAUUUUGCAGCUGUCAUGUAUUCCUACUCACCAUCAUCAGGAAUAUUUCAACAUGAAGGCUUCAGCACUUGGGAUCUCAGAGGCCAGCAUCAGCGGCAGGUGUCAUCUGGAUCUCUGCCCAACAUACACAAAUGGGUGGUUGGUCUGGUUCUGCUCUUCCUCAAAAUCCCUGUCCCCUCUCUCCCUCUCCCUCCCACCCGCUUCUUGGACUCCAAAAGAUCUAUCCCAGAGCCAUCCCUUAGCAAUAACACCAGCCCUUAACCUUAGGUAGACACAGUGGAUCCAGGGCUGGAAAGUCGGGAGAUGAGCCCUAGCUCUGUCUUGCCUUAGGCUCCAGUUCCCUCAUCUGUGUGAGCAGCGGGGUGGGGCUUGGAGACCUUGGCACUGCCUCCAUUUCCCGGUCUGUGUUUUAACUUACUCCAACCAGGGGAAAUGUUCUGGCACCUUCUUUCCCCACUGCCCUCCAGCUUCCAGGACUUUCUGAGGCUGAAGAGCAUCAAGGGCAACCACUUGACAGUUACAGGAACGUCAGCAUGCCACCUGAGUGGGCUUGACGGGUACCUGCAGGAAGCUGGAGGCCAGGCCGCCCCCGUCACUCUCCCAGCAGGUGGAGGCCCAUCCUGCCUGUCCUCAGAGAGGAGCAACUGCAGAGGAAUUUCCUCUGAUAAUACUCACAGAUUCUUAUACGGCAAGUUUUAAAAAAUUAAUUUUAUCGGUACAAUUUGCAGAUACAUAAUGAUCACAUUUAUCACAGCCGUUUGUCCCUGUACGUGAUAUAUCUUGAGUCUUCUUUUUUUCCCAUUCUCUUCCUCUCCCUUCAACCCUUCUCUCUUUAUUUACAAAUGCUUUGUUUCCAUUUUUUCCCUUUCAUUCUUUUUUUUCCUUUUCACUUCCCUUUCC